This 361-nucleotide ribosomal RNA is filed under the name uncultured bacterium. RNAcentral describes it as "bacterial SSU rRNA". It matches the Rfam family "Bacterial small subunit ribosomal RNA", at positions 553 to 916 of the family's 1533-position model. The record is from RNAcentral.
UAUUGGCGUAAGGGUGCGUAGGCGGAUUAAUAAGUCAGUGGUGAAAUCCCUGCGGCUUAACUGUAGAACUGCCAUUGAUACUGUUGAUCUUGAAUUUAGUUGAGGUAGGCGGAAUGUGUUGUGUAGCGGUGAAAUGCAUAGAUAUAACACAGAACACCGAUUGCGAAGGCAGCUUACUAAACUAUAAUUGACGCUGAUGCACGAAAGCGUGGGUAGCGAACAGGAUUAGAUACCCUGGUAGUCCACGCCGUAAACGAUGAUUACUCGUUGUUGGCAAUACAUAGUCAGCGACUGAGCGAAAGCAUUAAGUAAUCCACCUGGGGAGUACGUUGGCAACAAUGAAACUCAAAGGAAUUGACGG